CCUUUGCAAUGGAGUUAGGGUCUGAAAAACUCAGAAAUUGGUUGUGUUGUCAUCAGCUUCGUCUCCCAUAACCUACGAGAUUGGAGUUAAAUAACAGCACUAAAUUU
Manihot esculenta (cassava) is the source of this 107-nucleotide small nucleolar RNA. RefSeq annotates it as small nucleolar RNA snoR97. The record is from RefSeq and is a predicted model, not a curated record. NCBI's taxonomy places the organism in Eukaryota, Viridiplantae, Streptophyta, Magnoliopsida, Malpighiales, Euphorbiaceae. The transcript has a single exon.